UCUCCAUCACAUAAAUAAAAUCUUAAAAAAAAAAAAAAGAAAAAAGAAUAUUUUGUGUGUUGUCCUCAGUUCCUAUAAUCACUUCAGAUCCAUAAAGGUGAAAUGGAUGUCUUGUUUUGCGUAACAAGCCCCUUCCCACCAAAAUGGAAUUAUGUCAAUGAAAUGACAGGGGCCAGUUGCCAGGAUAAUCAGCCUUGAUUAGAGGGUUGGGACAAGUCCUACCCCCUGAUUUCUGGGAAGACAGAAGGGCUGGAGGUUUAAUCAGUCAGUCAUCAGUGGCCAGUGACUUAAUUAGUCAUGCCUUUGUAAUAAAGCCUCCAUAAAAAUCCAGAGAAUGGAAUUUGGAGAUCUUCUGGGUUGAUGAACACAGGGAAAGUUGGGGAGAGUGGAACAGAGCAAGAGAGUUUGGAAGCUUCACACCUUAGCCUACGCAUCUGGCUGUUCCUGAGUUCUAUCCUUUGAUAAUAAACUGGUAAUCUAACAAGUACAUUUUUUUUUUCUGAGUUCUAUGAGCCACUCUAACAAAUUAAUUGAACCUGAGCAGGCAGGGGGUCUUUGGAAACUCUGGUCUGUAGCCAGUGGGUCAGAGGCAAAGGUAACAACCUGGACUUGAUGCCUCAAAUGGGGGACAGUGAGGGCAGUAUUGUGGGAUUGAGCCUUUAACUUGUGGGAUGCAUUUGAUUUGUAGGACAUUCACUGGUGUCAGAUAUUGCUUGUUGGUGUGGAGAAACCCUUUCAUUCCCCCCACCACACAUAGAAGAAGUGGAAUCAGAAUCUUUACCGUGUCUUAUGAAAACAUGAUCCCCAUUGUGUCUUAACUCUGAUUUUCCAAAAUUAUUUUGCAGGUGCUAGAUUAAGGAACCUUAAGUUGACAUUCUCCU
Long non-coding RNA from Mustela erminea (ermine), 881 nucleotides. RefSeq lists it as uncharacterized. The record is from RefSeq and is a predicted model, not a curated record. The transcript has 3 exons. NCBI's taxonomy places the organism in Eukaryota, Metazoa, Chordata, Mammalia, Carnivora, Mustelidae.